This is a long non-coding RNA of Gasterosteus aculeatus aculeatus (three-spined stickleback), 1081 nucleotides long. The record is from Ensembl. NCBI's taxonomy places the organism in Eukaryota, Metazoa, Chordata, Actinopteri, Perciformes, Gasterosteidae.
CCUCCCUCCCUCCUGCAGUCACACACACACACUGUCUCUGCUCUGUCCCGCUGUGUGCCAGUCCCGCUCUGCCUCUCCACUCUCAGCUCUCUCCACUCGUCCUUUCUACAUCCCUCCACCGCUUCUCUUCCUCUUAUCACUGAUAGCAAGCCGGAUCUCGGGCCGCUACUUCCACCACCACCAAACUGCCCCCUGGAGAAUUUACUUUCACCUACUUUUUCUUUUUCAAUUCUGCUGUCCUGCACCUUCCCCUCCGGAGAGGCCGGUUGGUGCGUGUCUGGCGCGUGCGAGAGCUCCGGUGUCGCGCUCUUUGCCCCCCCCCCGAGGGAAUCCCUGGCGGUUGUCUGAGUCGGAGGAGAAGAACUUUUUUCGCCACGAUGAACGUUCAGCUGCUGCUGGUGUUGGCCCUGGUCGGCCCUUUCUGUGCCUUUACACAUGCAACUCUGGAGCCAAGGUUUGAUUUGCCGACACCAAAAGGGAAAUGUGACGUAAUAGCCGGAGCUCUGCUGCCUCGUGUCUGCGGCUUUUUUGGCACCGGCCAAGAGAGGAGAAGAAAGGAAUAUCCUUUUGGAUGGCUCCCAAAGCAGUGCUCAUACACGGGGAGGGGAGGGACGGGGCCCCGUAAACAGCAACGCACGCCGCGCACGUUCAUCCGAGAGCUCGUCCUCGGUCGCCUUUCACACUCACUCCUCAUCCUCUCACUUCUCCCACCCUGCAUCAGUGCUUUCUCUCUUCCCCUCGCUUUCUUCCAGUUUGUAUUUUUCCCCUUUCUUUCUCUCUCUUUCUGCUCCCCUCCUUUGCCUUGUGAGGGGGGAGAGUGUGUGUGGGGGGCUGAGGCCUCAGCGAGCUGCAGGGCAGGGCAGGGCGGGUUUGCGUGCAUGUAUUAAUAGAGAGAGGCUCUAUAUUUAAGAGGGUCAUAUGGAUGAGAGACGAGAAGAGAGAGAGAGAGAGAACACCCGAAACGCGACGAGCUUUGGGAGGCGCCCCACCCUCUUCUGCCCGCAUGUUGUCAGGCGAUGCGGCACGCCACCCCUUGCAUUUACCCAUCUUUGGUGGGGUAAUACGCUUACACUUAACCCUG